AGUCUAGCAUGUGCGCGAGUCAUUGGGACUCAAUAAACCUAAAGGCGCAAUGAAAGUGAAAGUCUGUUUACGCGGACUUAGGGAGGAUAGGUGCGUACACAUUGUGUACAACCUCGCACUCCCGGGGCGUCUCGCACUCAUUGCGAGGUGGGGCGCACCAAGAGCGUACACGCUGGGACCCGAAAGAUGGUGAACUAUGCCUGGUCAGGACGAAGUCAGGGGAAACCCUGAUGGAGGUCCGUAGCGAUUCUGACGUGCAAAUCGAUCGUCGGAACUGGGCUUAGGGGCGAAAGACUAAUCGAACCAUCUAGUAGCUGGUUCCCACCGAAGUUUCCCUCAGGAUAGCUGGCACUAGAUUAUGGAUGAGUCUCAUCCGGUAAAGCGAAUGAUUAGAGGCAUUGGGGUCGAAACGGCCUCAACCUAUUCUCAAACUUUAAAUGGGUGAGAUCUCCGGCUUGCUCGAUUUAUGAAGCCGGAGAUCGGAUCAAUUAGUGCCAAGUGGGCCACUUUUGGUAAGCAGAACUGGCGCUGUGGGAUGAACCAAACGCAGAGUUAAAGCGCCAAAAUCGACGCUUAUGGGAUACCAUGAAAGGCGUUGGUAACUUAAGACAGCAGGACGGUGGCCAUGGAAGUC
Molecule: ribosomal RNA, 634 nt
Filed under: Carabus linnaei folgariacus
Lineage: Eukaryota; Metazoa; Arthropoda; Insecta; Coleoptera; Carabidae
Also listed under: 6 other names
Description: eukaryotic LSU rRNA
Rfam family: Eukaryotic large subunit ribosomal RNA
Source: RNAcentral